AGCUAUGCAAGACACCAACUCA
RNAcentral lists this non-coding RNA (22 nucleotides) under Arabidopsis thaliana (thale cress). Lineage: Eukaryota; Viridiplantae; Streptophyta; Magnoliopsida; Brassicales; Brassicaceae. The record is from RNAcentral.